RNAcentral lists this ribosomal RNA (253 nucleotides) under uncultured bacterium. RNAcentral describes it as "partial 16S ribosomal RNA". It matches the Rfam family "Bacterial small subunit ribosomal RNA", at positions 524 to 776 of the family's 1533-position model. The record is from RNAcentral.
UACAGAGGUCCCGAGCGUUGUUCGGAUUCACUGGGCGUAAAGGGUGCGUAGGUGGUGAGGUAAGUCGGAUGUGAAAUCUCCAAGCUCAACUUGGAAAUGGCAUUGGAAACUACCUUGCUGGAGGUUUGGAGGGGGGACUGGAAUUCCCAGUGUAGCGGUGAAAUGCGUAGAUAUUGGGAGGAACACCAGUGGCGAAGGCGGCUCACUGGACCGGAACUGACGCUGAGGCGCGAAAGCGUGGGGAGCAAACAGG